GACGAACGCUGGCGGCGUGCUUAACACAUGCAAGUCGAACGGAAAGGCCCUGCUUUUGUGGGGUGCUCGAGUGGCGAACGGGUGAGUAACACGUGAGUAACCUGCCCUUGACUUUGGGAUAACUUCAGGAAACUGGGGCUAAUACCGGAUAGCAGCUCCUGCUGCAUGGUGGGGGUUGGAAAUUUUCGGCGGGUGGGGAUGGACUCGCGGCUUAUCAGCUUGUUGGUGGGGUAGUGGCUUACCAAGGCUUUGACGGGUAGCCGGCCUGAGAGGGUGACCGGCCACAUUGGGACUGCGAUACGGCCCAGACUCCUACGGGAGGCAGCAGUGGGGAAUAUUGCACAAUGGGCGGAAGCCUGAUGCAGCAACGCCGCGUGCGGGAUGACGGCCUUCGGGUUGUAAACCGCUUUCGCCUGUGACGAAGCGUGAGUGACGGUAAUGGGUAAAGAAGCACCGGCUAACUACGUG
This 468-nucleotide ribosomal RNA is filed under the name uncultured bacterium. RNAcentral describes it as "partial 16S ribosomal RNA". It matches the Rfam family "Bacterial small subunit ribosomal RNA", at positions 28 to 507 of the family's 1533-position model. The record is from RNAcentral.